RNAcentral lists this long non-coding RNA (742 nucleotides) under Anser cygnoides (Swan goose). RNAcentral's name for it is "lncRNA (ENSACDG00005006508.1)". Lineage: Eukaryota; Metazoa; Chordata; Aves; Anseriformes; Anatidae. The record is from RNAcentral.
AGAUCCCACACCAGAAAGCCCAGCUUUCUUCUCAUCGCCUCUGACUCAUCAUUGCAUUCCUCCUUCUGCCUCCACUUCUCUCUACAGAGAAGUAGACCUCUUUCCAAAGACAGAAGAUGAACAAGAAGCUUGCAUACCCUUCUGCCAUCAUUUGUUCCACUUUUUCUACGACUUCACCGUGAGACAGAGUACAAGGGAGCAUUUAAAUUGCAUGGAGCUUUUUCCAAAGAAGAAGUUACCCCAUCAAUAUUCUGCUUCAGCAGCAAUGCAAGGUAAAAACACACAUCUGUCCAGCUGUCAGCCUGCUGACCCGAUCUUCACGUAAGCCAGUUCUCUGCAUGUGUUUUAAAGGAGGAAACCAAAGGCAUAGCCAAAGGCAGAGGUGAGUGCAGUAAGGUGCAGGACCGGUUCACCACAGGGGAAAUCACACUUUUCAGAUCCGGUAACCGAUUGUCAGGAUACCAGAUUUGCAGUAAAUCUUUCCUCCUGGGUUCCAAAAAGGCUGCAGGGGAAGGUAUGGAUGUACCUGGAGAAGGCGGAGGUUGGUUCAUGAAUUUUGAGAGGGGUGAAGCCCUGAAUAAGGGGAUGAGGCCCUAGGCAGUGGUGAAAGGAGAAAAGCCAGAGCGAUAGGGGCACUUCCUCAGGACUGUUUCCAAGACUGAUCUUACUCAUUUUUUUAAUUUUUUUUCAUAACCUUGGCUCAGAACAUCGGUGUGUGCUAAUAAAACUUGCUGAUGACACA